RNAcentral lists this ribosomal RNA (999 nucleotides) under uncultured organism. RNAcentral's name for it is "bacterial SSU rRNA". It matches the Rfam family "Bacterial small subunit ribosomal RNA", at positions 356 to 1376 of the family's 1533-position model. The record is from RNAcentral.
GGGGAAUAUUGCACAAUGGAGGAAACUCUGAUGCAGCGAUGCCGCGUGAGGGAAGAAGGUUUUAGGAUUGUAAACCUCUGUCUUCAGGGACGAAAAAAGGACGGUACCUGAGGAGGAAGCUCCGGCUAACUACGUGCCAGCAGCCGCGGUAAUACGUAGGGAGCGAGCGUUGUCCGGAAUUACUGGGUGUAAAGGGAGCGUAGGCGGGGUCGCAAGUCAGAUGUGAAAACUAUGGGCUUAACCCAUAAACUGCAUUUGAAACUGUGGUUCUUGAGUGAAGUAGAGGUAAGCGGAAUUCCUAGUGUAGCGGUGAAAUGCGUAGAUAUUAGGAGGAACAUCAGUGGCGAAGGCGGCUUACUGGGCUUUAACUGACGCUGAGGCUCGAAAGCGUGGGGAGCAAACAGGAUUAGAUACCCUGGUAGUCCACGCCGUAAACGAUGAUUACUAGGUGUGGGGGGACUGACCCCUUCCGUGCCGCAGCAAACGCAAUAAGUAAUCCACCUGGGGAGUACGACCGCAAGGUUGAAACUCAAAGGAAUUGACGGGGGCCCGCACAAGCAGUGGAGUAUGUGGAUUAAUUCGAAGCAACGCGAAGAACCUUACCAGGUCUUGACAUCGUAUGCAUAGCUCAGAGAUGAGUGAAAUCUCUUCGGAGACAUAUAGACAGGUGGUGCAUGGUUGUCGUCAGCUCGUGUCGUGAGAUGUUGGGUUAAGUCCCGCAACGAGCGCAACCCUUACUGUUAGUUGCUACGCAAGAGCACUCUAGCAGGACUGCCGUUGACAAAACGGAGGAAGGUGGGGAUGACGUCAAAUCAUCAUGCCCCUUAUGACCUGGGCCUCACACGUACUACAAUGGCUGUAAACAGAGGGAAGCAAAGCCGCGAGGUAGAGCGAACCCCUAAAAGCAGUCUUAGUUCGGAUUGUAGGCUGCAACCCGCCUACAUGAAGUCGGAAUUGCUAGUAAUCGCAGAUCAGCAUGCUGCGGUGAAUACGUUCCCG